AGUGAACGCUGGCGGUAGGCCUAACACAUGCAAGUCGAACGGCAGCACAGUAAGAGCUUGCUCUUACGGGUGGCGAGUGGCGGACGGGUGAGGAAUACAUCGGAAUCUACUUUUUCGUGGGGGAUAACGUAGGGAAACUUACGCUAAUACCGCAUACGACCUACGGGUGAAAGCAGGGGAUCUUCGGACCUUGCGCGAUUGAAUGAGCCGAUGUCGGAUUAGCUAGUUGGCGGGGUAAAGGCCCACCAAGGCGACGAUCCGUAGCUGGUCUGAGAGGAUGAUCAGCCACACUGGAACUGAGACACGGUCCAGACUCCUAAGGGAGGCAGCAGUGGGGAAUAUUGGACCAUGGGGGCAAGCCUGAACCAGCCAUACCGGGUGGGUGAAGAAGGCCUUCGGGUUUUAAAGCCCUUUUGUUGGGAAAGAAAAGCAGCAGGUUAAUACCCCGCUGUUCUGACGGUACCCAAAGAAUAAGCACCGGCUAACUUCGUG
RNAcentral lists this ribosomal RNA (492 nucleotides) under uncultured bacterium. Its description in RNAcentral is "partial 16S ribosomal RNA". It matches the Rfam family "Bacterial small subunit ribosomal RNA", at positions 29 to 507 of the family's 1533-position model. The record is from RNAcentral.